GAUGAACGCUGGCGGCGUGCCUAAUACAUGCAAGUCGAGCGAAUGGAUUAAGAGCUUGCUCUUAUGAAGUUAGCGGCGGACGGGUGAGUAACACGUGGGUAACCUGCCCAUAAGACUGGGAUAACUCCGGGAAACCGGGGCUAAUACCGGAUAACAUUUUGAACCGCAUGGUUCGAAAUUGAAAGGCGGCUUCGGCUGUCACUUAUGGAUGGACGCGCGUCGCAUUAGCUAGUUGGUGAGGUAACGGCUCACAAAGGCAACGAUGCGUAGCCGACCUGCGAGGGUGAUCGGCCACACUGGGACGGAGACACGGCCCAGACUCCUACGGGAGGCAGCAGUAGGGAAUCUUCCGCAAUGGACGAAAGUCUGACGGAGCAACGCCGCGUGAGUGAUGAAGGCUUUCGGGUCGUAAAACUCUGUUGUUAGGGAAGAACAAGUGCUAGUUGAAUAAGCUGGCACCUUGACGGUACCUAACCAGAAGGCCACGGCUAACUACGUGCCAGCCGCCCGCCGUAA
RNAcentral lists this ribosomal RNA (516 nucleotides) under uncultured bacterium. RNAcentral describes it as "partial 16S ribosomal RNA". It matches the Rfam family "Bacterial small subunit ribosomal RNA", at positions 28 to 523 of the family's 1533-position model. The record is from RNAcentral.